UGGGGAAUCUUGCACAAUGCGCGAAAGCGUGAUGCAGCAACGCCGCGUGGGGGAAGACGGCCUUCGGGUUGUAAACCCCUUUCAGUUGGGACGAAGCUUCGACGGUUAAUAGCCGGCCGGAGUGACGGUACCUUCAGAAGAAGCCCCGGCUAACUACGUGCCAGCAGCCGCGGUAAUACGUAGGGGGCAAGCGUUGUCCGGAAUCAUUGGGCGUAAAGCGCGUGUAGGCGGUUCGAUAAGUCUGCUGUGAAAGUCCAGGGCUCAACCCUGGGAUGCCGGUGGAUACUGUAGGGCUAGAGUACGGAAGAGGUGAGUGGAAUUCCCGGUGUAGCGGUGAAAUGCGCAGAUAUCGGGAGGAACACCAAUUGCGAAGGCAGCUCACUGGGACGUCACUGACGCU
Molecule: ribosomal RNA, 400 nt
Filed under: uncultured bacterium
Lineage: Bacteria
Description: bacterial SSU rRNA
Rfam family: Bacterial small subunit ribosomal RNA
Source: RNAcentral